RNAcentral lists this ribosomal RNA (471 nucleotides) under uncultured bacterium. RNAcentral's name for it is "partial 16S ribosomal RNA". It matches the Rfam family "Bacterial small subunit ribosomal RNA", at positions 28 to 507 of the family's 1533-position model. The record is from RNAcentral.
GACGAACGCUGGCGGCGUGCUUAACACAUGCAAGUCGAACGAUGAAGCCUAGCUUGCUAGGUGGAUUAGUGGCGAACGGGUGAGUAAUACGUGAGUAACCUACCUUUAACUCUGGGAUAAGCCCGGGAAACUGGGUCUAAUACCGGAUACGACCAAUCUCCGCAUGGGGUGUUGGUGGAACGCGUUAUGUAGUGGUUAUAGAUGGGCUCACGGCCUAUCAGCUUGUUGGUGAGGUAACGGCUCACCAAGGCGACGACGGGUAGCCGGCCUGAGAGGGUGACCGGCCACACUGGGACUGAGACACGGCCCAGACUCCUACGGGAGGCAGCAGUGGGGAAUAUUGCACAAUGGGCGCAAGCCUGAUGCAGCGACGCCGCGUGAGGGAUGACGGCCUUCGGGUUGUAAACCUCUGUUAGCAGGGAAGAAGAGAGAUUGACGGUACCUGCAGAGAAAGCGCCGGCUAACUACGUG